RNAcentral lists this microRNA precursor (83 nucleotides) under Cephalotus follicularis. RNAcentral describes it as "mir-166 microRNA precursor family". It matches the Rfam family "mir-166 microRNA precursor family". From Rfam's summary of the family: This family represents the plant microRNA (miRNA) precursor mir-166. Animal miRNAs are transcribed as ~70nt precursors and subsequently processed by the Dicer enzyme to give a ~22nt product. In plants the precursor sequences may be longer, and the carpel factory (caf) enzyme appears to be involved in processing. Lineage: Eukaryota; Viridiplantae; Streptophyta; Magnoliopsida; Oxalidales; Cephalotaceae. The record is from Rfam by way of RNAcentral.
GUUGAGGGGAAUGUUGGCUGGCUCGAGGCUUUAAAGAAACAACUUUGCUGUGAGGCUUCGGACCAGGCUUCAUUCCCCUCAAA